CUUGGCCUCCAUACCCCAAAUCCAGAACUUCCACCAGGGCUCUCAGCCUGAGAUGUCUGUGAGGGGGACAGCCUCAUUCAUCUUUGCUCUGUAGCCUCCUAGGAGUUCUUCAGCCACCUGGUACAAGGAUUUUUUGGAGGCUUGAGCAGCUGUGGACCUAGAGAGAGGAAGGCACCUCUGAGACUUCCCUGUUUUAUGAAAACAAAUUAUUUUCAUGUGGUGUGGGAGAAAGUUGCUUUCUUCUGUCAUGAAGCCCUUCGGAGGAACAAAUAUGACCCAGUGGGUUUAUUUUUUGAUCAAUAGGAAGGAUAGCCACAUUAAGAGGAGCUUCUGCACAGCCCUGGAGUUUGAGAUGCUGGAUUUCAAAGAGCUUGCUGCCUGACAGUGGGUGGACAUAAAACCGCUUCACCUCUAAAACAGACUUGAUGAGCUGAGCUGCCAUUGAUGAGGCAUUAAAACCCAGAGCACAUCCACCAGCAUGGGAAAAUGAAUGAAAUGAUGACUGCUCUGAGACAUGGGCUCUGUGAGGGACGCAUUGGCUGUUCUUAAUGUUCUCCCAGGACUCUGUUACAAAGCAACAGCCCCACCUUGGACACAGACUGCUCUGCAUGACUCAAACAAAAUUUCCUCUGCAGGUGGACAGCCUUCUCCUAACAAUGGAUUGGCUGUGCUGUUUCACAGCAAAAACACCAUAAACCAAAGAAUUAAUGUACCUGUCAUAGUCUGGUGGCUGGAACCCCUUGGCGAAGAGGCCCCAGUAAACUGAGAGAAAUGCUGCGUUUAUGUUCAGCGUGGGCCCAAGCUGUGCACUAGUCCAUUCACUGCUCACACUGACUGCCAUUGGAUAGUGUUAUUACAGACCCACUUACUAACUGAAAAUAUUAUAUACUUUUUACUUGGUUUUUUCAAUGGGCUCUUGUUUACUUCUGCUGCUGGGUAUGCAGAGCAAUCGCUGCUGCUUCUAAUUCUCCUUACUUUUAGUCCCCCUUUCUGCUAAGCUGAGUGUAAACCACAAUCUCUCAGAACCUUGCAGUGUAUACUGAGAGGACUUGAGAGCUUGACCUCUCAUGUUACAGAUGAGCACACAGAGGUCCAGAGGCCUGAGCACGUGGCUAGUUGUCCCAGGGACCAAGACCAGAAACCUAGGUGACCUUGGUCUUUGGACCUUUUUACUUAUCCAUUCAACUUCUGGCAAACAUUUAAAUAAGCCAUUUCUUCAAGGACCUGGGAUAGAAAGACUGAGGUACCCAGUAUCAUUGCUGCUGUAAUAGCAAGAAGCCCUGAGAAGGAUCUUCAGAGGCAGAGAGGCCUUUGGAUGCUUUGAAAGAGAGAUUCUCCCCACAGUCCCUGUCUGUCUUCCACGAAACCCAGCUAAAACCAAGCCAGCACAAAUCUCAGAUUCAUUAAAUAAAUUCACCAGAAAACCAAGUCAAAACGACAGAGACCAAGAGAACAGGCACAAGUGCCUUUUUAUUCCUCCUCUGAGCCAAGCUGAAGAGCAGCCCCAGGUGACAGAGUGUGAUACUCAAGGCCAGCCCUCGUCCCCUACUUCAGCACAGCCUGGAUGAAUCACACACCAGAGAACAACAGCGCUAUUUCUUUCAGUCAUCUGUCAAGCUGACAACCCUGCCCAGAGUUAUUUAGGGCUUUCUAAAGACACUUCUUCCCUGACUGCCACAGGAAGCACCUGCAAAACUGCUGAGCUGCGGUUUUGCUCAAUAGCACUUUGAUAGUCCCUGAGGGCAUCAAUUACUCUUCUUUCCUUCCCUGCAUGGACUUUGGUUUUGAUGAUGAAGAAGAAGGAGAUGGUGAAGAUCCCUGGGAUCUGAAGCCAGACGCUUUGUGGAGGUGGGUUUCUCACUGAUUGCUGUGGGGGAUCCUCUGGACAAGGACAGCCCAAGAGUGUAAGGAGAAUAUUCCCAUGAGAGUAGGUCUCCCUCCUGGAGCAGAACUGUACUCUUUGCCAACUCCUCAGAGGAAAAACAGGCCUGUCAGACAAGUGUGUCUGGAGCAAAUCUGGUCUUCUGAUUCAGGUGGAUGACAUAAAAGAGGGGUAACUUGGAAAAGGAUCAGAAGAAAAACACAAAAGUAAUGAGAAGAUCUGGAUGAAUGGACCUCUGAAAGCAGUUAGGGGAAUUAGAGUUGUUGAGUCUAGGGAAGGCAAGGGUGAACUACCAAUCAGCUUUGAGUAUGGAGAGAAUAAUUGUGCAGGGAUUAGUGGUCAUUUCCACUGAAAAUAUCAUGUGAGUUAGAGAUGCUUAAAUUGCUGCCUGAGGAGUCUGCUCAGUGUGUGCUGGUCUGUCUGGGUUAUUGCAAAUUCUUACUCUCAAAGUGGUCAGUCUGCUUCCUUGGAUAUUUGCAUGAAUGAAAAUGACAUCCUUCCAGCUGGAAUGGGUUAGAGAAAGUCACAUGGAUCUCUUCCCUUUGACUCAAACUGCCCAACACCCCAGCUUCACUCUUAUCUGAAGCCUUUUAACUGGUAUUUGGAUAUCCAUCUCUGCCUCCAUGGACCCACUUUGCAUAUUGAGGUCUUGUUUAUCUUUCUUAAAUCAUCUUGGGUUAGCCACUGUCCUGCCCUAAAAACACUGAUGCAUUUGUUAGCUUGCCAUUACUAUAACAGAUCCCUGAGACAAUUAACUUAUAAAGGGACCAGUGACCUAAAGACCACCCACCAGUCCCCAUCUCUUAUGUUUUACUAUCUCCCAAUAGUGCCACCCUGGGGACCAAGCCUUUAACACAUGGGACUUUGGGGACACUCAAGAUCCAAACUAUAGCAAUGCCUAUUCAUUCAUUCAGUCAACAAAAUUUGAGCACCUGUUAUAUUGAGCAUAUAUUGUAUAUCUGCCACUAUACCUCGCCCUGUGCAUACAAAAGGGCACAAAAUACAGCAGGGUUGCAAGUUCACUCAGUCUUUAUGUCCUUGUCCUGGAAUCUUUCGAGGCUCCAUCAUCUUGAUUUAGUGUCUCUUGCGGCACAAAACCUUUUCUUUUACAAGCAGAGUCCAUUCACGGUGACAAAGGAUUUCUUGGCCUUUCUUCUUGCCAUGACUUCUGCAUAGAAUACCUUCAUCCAGAGCCUAUCUCUUCUUUGCAACCAGCACAAGUCCUCUCCCCUUUAGGAGGAGUUGGACCACUUGGGGGUUAGGAUCUACCAGGACCUCAGUCCCCACAGCACUCCCUUACUUAGCACUGAAUAUUUUCUGUCUGAGAGAACAUAUGGGGUAGCUUCUGUCCCUGCCUGGAAACUUGGUGUGGACAAGCCCUGAGAGGGUGUGGUCUCUGAACCUUCUCUCUCUAUCCAAAGCUCUGCUGUGAAUGGUGAGACGGCAGCUCAGGUUUUGGCUGGUGCUUCCCGAACAUUUGCUGCCAUUGAGAAAUGGGAGAGGAUAUUUAAUCCCUGAAUUUAUCGGGAGAAAAAAUUGGGAGAUUUUGUUUUUUGCAAGAUGUGGAAACUGAGGACCAAAACAAGUGACUUAUCCAAAGCCACUCACAAGGUGAGAUUGUAGCAGAGUCAAGUCUAUACACUAUCUGGUUUGUCUCUGCUCUGCAUAGUCCAGCAACUGGAAUACUUAAGAACCAAACACUGCAGGACACAUAUGGAAGAAAUAAGAAGUAUAUUAGUUUCCUGUUGUGGCUAAAACAAAUAACCACAUAUUUACUGGCUUAAACAACACAAAAUUAUUGUCUUUAUAGUCUGUAGGUCAUAAGUCCUUGACCUGAGUCUCACCAGGCUAAAAUCAGAGUGCCAACAGGUCUGCAUACCUUUCUGGAAGUCCAGAGGAAAAUCUGUUUUCCUGCCUUUACUGACUUCUAGAAACUACCAGCAUUCUUCAGCUUAUGACCCUCUUUGUCCAUCUUCAAAGCCAGAAAGUUAGCCUGAGUCCUUCUUGCAUGGUAUCGUUCUGGCUAAUUUCCUCUUCUGCUUCCUUCUUCUAUUUAAGGACCUUGUGAUUACACUGGGGUCACCUGAGUACCCCAGGGUGAUCUCCCUAUUCAAGUCACCUUAAUAGCAAUCUUAAUUUCCCUCUGCAGUGUAACAUAUUUGCAGGCUCCAGGGAUUAGGAUGUAAAUGCUCGGGGGGUGGGGGUGGGGGGUUGGUUGGUGGCUGUUUCUUCCUACCACAAUAGAAAAAAUGAGAAAUAGUUCCCCCCUUUCCUCCCGCCUCUGUGUCUCUCCUCUCUCUCUCUCCUCUCUCCUCUAAUUCUCCAUAAUCUGAUAAAAUUAAUCUGAAAAUGUUCUGGGCCUCUGUAUUCAACUUCACACUUCUCUUAUGAGCCAUGGUCUGAUGAAUUUGGUCAAGACACAAAGGAAAGGAAUUAAAAUGCAAAAAUGCACAAAGAAGGAGGCUCACAAAUGUUGGCUAAAAUAGGAUGAGGACCAAGAGGUGAGUCCGCUAAUCUCUAAGGAUUUGAGAACUGCUGGGCUUUAAGGAUGUGGUCCAAGUUUGCAUAGGAGAAGUUGCUAUGAAAUGUUUAGAUGGAAUCUCCAACUGGAAGGCCUGUUGGUCACUAAAACCAGUUAAUAAUAGGGGGUGAGAAGGGUUCUGGACAAUUCAAGAAAAGAAUCAACACUUCCAUGUUGGGAAGAUCUCACAGAAUCUACAGGACCUUAGGAGUUUUCUAGUCCACCCUCACACCUAAUGUAAAAUCUACCCUCAUCAUUUUUUUUUUUUUUUUAAAGCUCUGGCAAGGGGUAGGAAAUCACUUAGAUUCUCUUAGAUAGUCUCAAAUUCUUCAAAUUUAUGAUUGUGAAUUGCAAAUGUUAUCUCUAGUUAACUCUUGGUAUUGGUUGGAAAAUCAAGAUAACUAUCAUUUUUUAAUCUUUUCUCCACCAAGAUGGUGGGAUGUUGGCUAUUAUUCUAUCUUUAUGGGGGAAGAUCUGAUCCCUAGUCCACACAUAGCAUUUAAUCCUCAUUUAUAGGAGGACGAUAAAGACAUGGAGAAAGACCUGAAAAAGGAAUUAUCUGCCAGUAGUUUCAGUGGCUGCUCAUGAGCUUUACUUUUCUCUGAUGUUUUGUGGUGGCUGUUUUUUAUCUGUCUGGCACCCAUCCCCCACUCCUCCCAGCAACAGAGCCUGUUUGUUCCUCAGGCUAGAAAAGGGGGCACCUGACUCAGCAGAAUCAACUGCUCGGCUCACAAGCUUAGCCACAGUUAAUGGGCCAAUCAGCACCAUUCCUCAGGGAUUCUCUAAUCCAGGGGACAUGGAUGGUGGUGACUUACUUUCUGACUCUUCUCAGGUCACCAGCUAUGGGAGGUGAGCUUUGCUGUUGGCUGCAUCCUCACUUCACGGAGGAACGGGUUUGGGAAAAUGGCAGUAGGAGGGAGCAAAAAGGAGAGGAAGUGAGAAUCCUAAGAAUGUUUUAAGGUUUUUCAAUUUACCAUACUUUUUUAUGGUUUGGUUAUAUGAACAAAUAAAUUUCCCUUUUAGGGUUAAGUUCGUUCAAGAUUUGUUUCUUUCAUUUGCAACUCAGGAAUCCUGAAUAAUGUAGGACCUUUUGUUCUUGGUUUUCUACUUUCUAAAGCUUCUGUAAAGCAAAUUGAAGACCAGAAACAAUUAGUCUCAGAACCCAAUGUGUCCAUGAUUGUUUGGGGGAAGAAUCAGUAGAAAAAGAAGGUGGGAAAUGACCCACUUGAGAAAUCACAAAGGUUCUUAUAUGCAGACUCUAGUAGGUAAAUCAUAGGGUCCUUUGCUCUUUUCUGGACCUCAAACAGAUUAAAAGAAAUCAUGGUUCAAAUUCACCUAGAUUCAGGCCAACAGUAGGAUAUGUUUCUAUUUUUUGGACCUGGUGUUCCUUUGCAGUAGGUGUAAAUCAGAGAGAGACACGUGACUCUAACAACAAAAUAGCGAUUGGAUAUCUUCUAUGUGUAAGCCUGUGCUAGUUUCAACUUGUCAUUCCAAAGCAACAAGUAGAAAUUUCAUUUGUGCUGACAGACGCUAAGCUUUAGGUGUGUCUGGUGUAAGCACACCCAGGUGUGACUGGCAAGCAGAAAAGUCAAAGGACAAUUACUCAUGAAGGUUGCUGAGGAAGGAACAAGAACGAGUGGGCCCACAUGUAAGCUAGAAGUUCAGUUAAAACAUAUGGAAAAUGUUUUCUUGAUAUUCAUUUAAAGCCUGGAACCAUCAACACAAAGAGGUCAUGGCGUUGCCCUCAGAGGAGGCUGUUGAGAACAAUUUAGAUUGCUGAUGGCUGCUUUACCAAGCCUGAUUAUAGGUCCCUAUGACUCGGUCCCACACAUCUGCUUUUCAGUAACACUGUGGGGGAGGCGAGUUGUCCCCUCGGACCUUUAAACAUAAUUUGUCUAUGGGUUUUGCCUUUUUUCCUGGCAGUUAGUUUUUGUGUUUGUUUUGUGAAGAAAGGACUUAGUAUAUUUCUUUUCUCUCUCCCUCUCUCUUUCUUUUUUGCAAUAAGCAGUUGGACAAAAUGUACACAAUCUCGCCCGAACUUUUAAAUGCUCCCACAUUUGGAUACAGUGUUUAUCUGUAUAGUUUUUAGCAGGUCAGGAUGGAUUUGACAGGUCAGAAGAUGGCUGAACUUUUGACUCUCCCCUUCAGCACACACACACUGUUGUGUGCACAUUGUUCUAUCUUCAAAAUGGGAAACCAGGAACCAUUCUUUAGCCCUAUCUUGUUCACAGAGCUUUUCCCCCUCUUGCAUACUGCGCCACCACCCAAAAGCUUGAAAACACCCCAGGAAACCCCCGCGUCAGUGUGAAAGGACUAAUCGUUACAUAUCACUUGGUUUUCCUUCCUGGACGUCAUGGGCCAUGGCCCUGUGAUUCUCACGUUGUUUCUGUCAUCGUCCCUGGGAGUUUAACUCUUGAUCCUGAGCCGGAGGAGGACAGCCUGUCUCAGCACGAACUCUUAUGUAAGUGGCUGUGGGGAGAGAGUUGGCAAUAAACAAACAUUUUUUUCCAACCCUUGUUUUCUCUGCAGCCUUGAAAAAUAUUUCUCUGGGGGUGCUACUGCGCUCUUGCAACAGAAGACCAAAUGCCCAGCUUUGAAAUGUCUUCCAUUGCAUUUCUAGAUUCUAAAAUCAGAAUGAAGUGAACCAAAAUGUUCAAAGUUAUUGAAUUACAGAGAGCUGAGACAUGGAGGUGCGUUUCUCUACAAAGAACUUUGCAGCAGCAUUUCAGAAGGCUGGUCCCCACAUCCACGCUGUUGGGGAACAGUCGAAAAAUUACAUGAUGGGCGAUGCUGGUUCUCAGAUGGGAGAACCAGAAGGCAAUAGGAACGAACCUGGGAACAGAGAAAUAAUUUCAUGACUACCGGUGUGGAAGUCAGACUCACUAUAGGAACAAAAUACAUCCACACAUAUGAGCACAAUGGGACCAUACAUUUCUGGAACCCAUGUUUUCCUUGAGCUACUCCACCUUAGAAAUUUGAAAGGGGGAAUAAUUUGUAACAUCAGCCUUGAAACACUCUACCUCCAUUCCCAUGAUUGAAUUUAGUGGAACUCCAGCCACAGUUCCUCCUCUGAG
Heterocephalus glaber (naked mole-rat) is the source of this 7477-nucleotide long non-coding RNA. The record is from Ensembl. NCBI's taxonomy places the organism in Eukaryota, Metazoa, Chordata, Mammalia, Rodentia, Bathyergidae.